GUGAGCAAAAUGUAUAUCUUUCAGAACGUAAGUUAAACAACGCUGUUUAGUGAAUUGGCUAGACUGUUGAUUGAACGGCAAACUAAGCUAGUUGGCUGCGACAUAUACAGUAAUAUUGAAAGGAUAAUAUGUAAAACUGUAAAUAUACUUCAAUUUGCAUUAAAGUAACCGACAAUCUACACUGAUGGCAGUAAAGGCUUGGAUCGUGAUGGAAGAGAAGUAAGAGGAAGAGUGAAGGAUUAUUACAUUUUGUGAUGGCAACGCAAUAUACGUUAAAGCAAUA
Molecule: long non-coding RNA, 283 nt
Organism: Pieris brassicae (large cabbage white)
Lineage: Eukaryota; Metazoa; Arthropoda; Insecta; Lepidoptera; Pieridae
Exons: 2
Source: RefSeq, a predicted model, not a curated record